This 343-nucleotide ribosomal RNA is filed under the name Panthera onca (jaguar). RNAcentral describes it as "partial 16S ribosomal RNA". It matches the Rfam family "Bacterial large subunit ribosomal RNA", at positions 2001 to 2517 of the family's 2925-position model. Lineage: Eukaryota; Metazoa; Chordata; Mammalia; Carnivora; Felidae. The record is from RNAcentral.
CAAUCGAUGGCUUUACUGUCUCUUACUUCCAAUMCKWGRRMWUGACCUUCCCGUGAAGAGGCGGGAAUAUGACAAUAAGACGAGAAGACCCUAUGGAGCUUUAAUUAACCGACCCAAAGAGAUCUUGAUAAUCAACCGACAGGGAUAACAUACCUCUACCAUGGGCCGACAAUUUAGGUUGGGGUGACCUCGGAGAAUAAAACAACCUCCGAGUGAUUUAAAUCUAGACUAACUAGUCGAAAGUACUACAUCACUUAUUGAUCCAAAAACUUGAUCAACGGAACAAGUUACCCUAGGGAUAAACAGCGCAAUCCYMUUUUAGAGUCCAUAUCGACAAUAGGAU